RNAcentral lists this ribosomal RNA (450 nucleotides) under uncultured bacterium. RNAcentral describes it as "partial 16S ribosomal RNA". It matches the Rfam family "Bacterial small subunit ribosomal RNA", at positions 354 to 796 of the family's 1533-position model. The record is from RNAcentral.
GUGGGGAAUAUUGGACAAUGGGCGAAAGCCUGAUCCAGCCAUGCCGCGUGUGUGAAGAAGGUCUUCGGAUUGUAAAGCACUUUAAGUUGGGAGGAAGGGCAGUAAGUUAAUACCUUGCUGUUUUGACGUUACCAACAGAAUAAGCACCGGCUAACUUCGUGCCAGCAGCCGCGGUAAUACGAAGGGUGCAAGCGUUAAUCGGAAUUACUGGGCGUAAAGCGCGCGUAGGUGGUUCAGCAAGUUGAAGGUGAAAUCCCCGGGCUCAACAUGGGAACUGCCUCCAAAACUACUGAGCUAGAGUACGGUAGAGGGUAGUGGAAUUUCCUGUGUAGCGGUGAAAUGCGUAGAUAUAGGAAGGAACACCAGUGGCGAAGGCGACUACCUGGACUGAUACUGACACUGAGGUGCGAAAGCGUGGGGAGCAAACAGGAUUAGAAACCCUAGUAGUCC